AUUUAGUUUUAUUCUUGCUGUUUUAUUCAGUGUUGUCUUGUUUUAUAUGUAUGUUUUUGCGUGAUUAGUUUAUUUCUCUUGAUGGGGUUUAUGUUGGUCAUAAUAUUUAUUCGCAUUAUUUAUUUUUAAAUAUCUUGGUUUUUUGGAUUUAGCAAUGACUUUUUUGUGCCGGCUAAGUUUGUGCCAGCAGCCGCGGUUAUACAUGUGGCGCUAUUGAAUAUUUUCGGUUAUGCAGUUCUAUUAAUUUUUGUUCUUGGGUUUUAGUUUUUUUUGUUUUGUGGGUGGAAUCUUUAUUUUUGUUUAUUGCUCUUUAAUUUAUUGUAGGCUGUGAAAUCUUUACUUUAAACUAGGAUUAGAUACCCUAUUAUUUUUGACGUAAAUCUGUUUUUCCUGGGUAGUAUUAGUUAUGUUCUUGAAACCUAAAGAAUUUGGCGGUAUUCCAUCCUUCCAGAGGAAUCUGCCCCGUAAUCGAUGAUCCGCGUUGGACCUUACUUAAUUUUUUUGUUUGUAUACCGCCGUUAUAAUGAGGAUCUCUUAAGUGUUGUUGAAUCUUCUGGUUUCUUUAUUUUGAUUUAUUUCAGGUCAAGGUGCAGCUUGUUUUUAAGUGUGAGGUGGAUUACAUUUUGUUUUUGAUUUUGGAUUAUCAGUUGUAAUUUGAUAUGAAAGUGGAUUUGGUUGUAAUUGAAUGUAGAUUGUUUUGAUGAUAUUGGCUCUGGAAUAUGCACACAUCGCCCGUCGCUCUCAUUUUACGUUGAGAUAAGUCGUAACAAAGUAGCCGUACCGGAAGGUGUGGCUAGAAUGUC
Molecule: non-coding RNA, 803 nt
Filed under: Paraneotermes simplicicornis
Lineage: Eukaryota; Metazoa; Arthropoda; Insecta; Blattodea; Kalotermitidae
Source: RNAcentral